Molecule: ribosomal RNA, 655 nt
Filed under: uncultured bacterium
Lineage: Bacteria
Description: bacterial SSU rRNA
Rfam family: Bacterial small subunit ribosomal RNA
Source: RNAcentral
AGUCGAACGAAGCACCUUGAUUUGAUUCUUCGGAUGAAGAUCUUGGUGACUGAGUGGCGGACGGGUGAGUAACGCGUGGGUAACCUGCCUCAUACAGGGGGAUAACAGUUAGAAAUGACUGCUAAUACCGCAUAAGACCACAGCACCGCAUGGUGCAGGGGUAAAAACUCCGGUGGUAUGAGAUGGACCCGCGUCUGAUUAGGUAGUUGGUGGGGUAACGGCCUACCAAGCCGACGAUCAGUAGCCGACCUGAGAGGGUGACCGGCCACAUUGGGACUGAGACACGGCCCAAACUCCUACGGGAGGCAGCAGUGGGGAAUAUUGCACAAUGGGGGAAACCCUGAUGCAGCGACGCCGCGUGAGCGAUGAAGUAUUUCGGUAUGUAAAGCUCUAUCAGCAGGGAAGAAAAUGACGGUACCUGACUAAGAAGCACCGGCUAAAUACGUGCCAGCAGCCGCGGUAAUACGUAUGGUGCAAGCGUUAUCCGGAUUUACUGGGUGUAAAGGGAGCGUAGACGGAGUGGCAAGUCUGAUGUGAAAACCCGGGGCUCAACCCCGGGACUGCAUUGGAAACUGUCAAUCUAGAGUACCGGAGAGGUAAGCGGGAUUCCUAGUGUAGCGGUGAAAUGCGUAGAUAUUAGGAGGAACACCAGUGG